UGCAGGAUGAAGGUCCUAUGGAUUGUAAACUGCUUUUGUACGGGAAGAAACCCCUCCUCGUGAGGAGGGCUGACGGUACCGUAAGAAUAAGGAUCGGCUAACUCCGUGCCAGCAGCCGCGGUAAUACGGAGGAUCCGAGCGUUAUCCGGAAUCAUUGGGUUUAAAGGGUCCGUAGGCGGCCUUGUAAGUCAGUGGUGAAAUCUCACGGCUCAACCGUGAAAUGGCCAUUGAUACUGCGGGGCUUGAAUUAUCGGGAAGCAGCUAGAAUAUGUAGUGUAGCGGUGAAAUGCUUAGAUAUUACAUGGAAUACCGAUUGCGAAGGCAGGCUGCUACCGGUGGAUUGACGCUGAUGGACGAAAGCGUGGGGAGCGAACAGGAUUAGAUACCCUGGUAGUCCACGCCGUAAACGA
RNAcentral lists this ribosomal RNA (410 nucleotides) under uncultured bacterium. Its description in RNAcentral is "bacterial SSU rRNA". It matches the Rfam family "Bacterial small subunit ribosomal RNA", at positions 402 to 809 of the family's 1533-position model. The record is from RNAcentral.